UCCGGGGGCUUCGGCCCCCCACUCUUCACCCCCUGUUUACCCACACCUUUGUUUGCUUUGGCGGGUAUCGGGCCCGCCUUAUAUCGGCCGAUCCAUGCCCGUCCGAGGCCGUUAAACCUUCGCCUAUCAGUGUCGUCCGAGUCAUACCAUAAUAGUCAAAACUUUCAACAACGGAUCUCUUGGUUCCGGCAUCGAUGAAGAACGCAGCGAAAUGCGAUAAGUAAUGUGAAUUGCAGAAUUCAGUGAACCAUCGAAUCUUUGAACGCACAUUGCGCCCCUCGGUAUUCCGGGGGGCAUGCCUGUUCGAGCGUCAUCACACCCCUCAAGCGUAGCUUGGUAUUGGGCCUGCGCCCUCGCGGCGGGCCCGAAAGUCAGUGGCGGUCCGGCGUGACUUCGAGCGUAGUAAAAUCAUCUCCCGCUCUGGGAGCUCGCGCCGCGGCCGGCCAGAACGCCCCCCUUUCCAAACGAUUGACCUCGGAUCAGGUAGGGAUACCCGCUGAACUUAA
This 506-nucleotide ribosomal RNA is filed under the name Protoparmeliopsis sp. Vondrak 9980. Its description in RNAcentral is "eukaryotic LSU rRNA". The stretch from base 160 to 313 matches the Rfam family "5.8S ribosomal RNA". The record is from RNAcentral. Lineage: Eukaryota; Fungi; Ascomycota; Lecanoromycetes; Lecanorales; Lecanoraceae.